CAGUCGCCGCGGUAAUACGAAGGGUGCAAGCGUUACUCGGAAUUACUGGGCGUAAAGCGUGUGUAGGUGGUUGUUUAAGUCUGUCGUGAAAGCCCUGGGCUCAACCUGGGAAUUGCGAUGGAUACUGGGCGACUAGAGUGCGGUAGAGGAUAGUGGAAUUUCCGGUGUAGCAGUGAAAUGCGUAGAGAUCGGAAGGAACAUCUGUGGCGAAGGCGACUAUCUGGGCCAACACUGACACUGAGACACGAAAGCGUGGGGAGCAAACAGGAUUAGAGACCCCCGUAGUCCCUGUCUCUUAUAC
RNAcentral lists this ribosomal RNA (301 nucleotides) under uncultured bacterium. RNAcentral describes it as "partial 16S ribosomal RNA". It matches the Rfam family "Bacterial small subunit ribosomal RNA", at positions 509 to 807 of the family's 1533-position model. The record is from RNAcentral.